GAUGAAGAACGAAGCGAAAUGCGAUACGUAAUGUGAAUUGCAGAAUUCAGUGAAUCAUCGAAUCUUUGAACGCAUAUUGCGCUCUCUGGUAUUCCGGAGAGCAUGCUUGUUUGAGUAUCAGUAAACACCUCAACUCCCUUUUCUUUUUUGAAAUUGGAGCUGGACUUGAGUGAUCCCAACGCUUUCUUCCAAGAAAGUGGCGGGUUGCUUGAAAUGCAGGUGCAGCUGAACUUUUCUCUGAGCUAUAAGCAUAUCUAUUUAGUCUGCCUAAAAAACAGAUUAUUACCUUUGCUGCAGCUAACAUGAAGGAGACUAGUUCUUGUGCUGACUGAUGCAGGAUUCACAGAGACAGCUUCGGCUGACUUUGUAAACUCGAUCUCAAAUCAAGUAAGACUACCCGCUGAACUUAAGCAUAUCAAUAAGCGGAGGA
This 430-nucleotide unclassified non-coding RNA is filed under the name soil metagenome. RNAcentral's name for it is "partial contains 5.8S ribosomal RNA, internal transcribed spacer 2, and large subunit ribosomal RNA". The stretch from base 1 to 120 matches the Rfam family "5.8S ribosomal RNA", at positions 35 to 154 of the family's 154-position model. The record is from RNAcentral.